CCUGCACCUGCCGGCGACCGGCGCACGGGUGAGUAACACGUAUGGAACCUGCCCGCCACAGGGGGAUAACCCGGGGAAACCCGGCCUAAUACCCCAUGCCGCCCGGACCGGGCAUCCGGUCCGGGCGAAAGGAGGAAUCCGGUGGCGGCUGGGCAUGCGGCGCAUUAGCUAGACGGCGGGGUGACGGCCCACCGUGGCGACGAUGCGUAGGGGUUCUGAGAGGAAGGCCCCCCACACUGGGACUGAGACACGGCCCAGACUCCUACGGAAGGCAGCAG
RNAcentral lists this ribosomal RNA (278 nucleotides) under uncultured bacterium. RNAcentral describes it as "partial 16S ribosomal RNA". It matches the Rfam family "Bacterial small subunit ribosomal RNA", at positions 74 to 354 of the family's 1533-position model. The record is from RNAcentral.